UGCAGUCGAGCGAAUGGAUUGAGAGCUUGCUCUCAAGAAGUUAGCGGCGGACGGGUGAGUAACACGUGGGUAACCUGCCCAUAAGACUGGGAUAACUCCGGGAAACCGGGGCUAAUACCGGAUAACAUUUUGAACUGCAUGGUUCGAAAUUGAAAGGCGGCUUCGGCUGUCACUUAUGGAUGGACCCGCGUCGCAUUAGCUAGUUGGUGAGGUAACGGCUCACCAAGGCAACGAUGCGUAGCCGACCUGAGAGGGUGAUCGGCCACACUGGGACUGAGACACGGCCCAGACUCCUACGGGAGGCAGCAGUAGGGAAUCUUCCGCAAUGGACGAAAGUCUGACGGAGCAACGCCGCGUGAGUGAUGAAGGCUUUCGGGUCGUAAAACUCUGUUGUUAGGGAAGAACAAGUGCUAGUUGAAUAAGCUGGCACCUUGACGGUACCUAACCAGAAAGCCACGGCUAACUACGUGCCAGCAGCCGCGGUAAUACGUAGGUGGCAAGCGUUAUCCGGAAUUAUUGGGCGUAAAGCGCGCGCAGGUGGUUUCUUAAGUCUGAUGUGAAAGCCCACGGCUCAACCGUGGAGGGUCAUUGGAAACUGGGAGACUUGAGUGCAGAAGAGGAAAGUGGAAUUCCAUGUGUAGCGGUGAAAUGCGUAGAGAUAUGGAGGAACACCAGUGGCGAAGGCGACUUUCUGGUCUGUAACUGACACUGAGGCGCG
This 718-nucleotide ribosomal RNA is filed under the name Bacillus sp. (in: firmicutes). RNAcentral describes it as "bacterial SSU rRNA". It matches the Rfam family "Bacterial small subunit ribosomal RNA", at positions 56 to 755 of the family's 1533-position model. Lineage: Bacteria; Bacillati; Bacillota; Bacilli; Caryophanales; Bacillaceae. The record is from RNAcentral. RNAcentral also lists the same sequence under 1 other name.